Molecule: long non-coding RNA, 568 nt
Organism: Canis lupus familiaris (dog)
Lineage: Eukaryota; Metazoa; Chordata; Mammalia; Carnivora; Canidae
Exons: 4
Source: RefSeq, a predicted model, not a curated record
GAGCCAGAAUUUGUGGAGAACAGGAUCAAAUUAUGAAGAAAAUCUUAAAAAUCUGUAUCUAUAUUUUCAUUCUACAAAUGAUUUAAUGAAAACCGGAGUGACAACAGGGACUGCUCAGAAUUAUGCAGGACACGGAUAUGGGAACCUGGCUUUGGUUAAUUGAGGGCAGCUUCUUCCAGGAGAAACCACAGACAUACAGAGGCAACAUCAAAUCUCAGCAAGUCUCUCCAAGUGUUGGGAUACCUUCAAGGGCUCCUUAGGCAUUCUCACUGCCAGAACCAGAAGUUUGGAACCAUGAUGACAGAUGUGGAAAGCCUCAUCUCUAUGUGAUAGUGUCUAUCCUCACAUUAAGACCAAACUCAUUUCAACUCUUCGGAAAUGGAUUCACUGGUUUCAGCACAAUGACUCCACAUUUUUUUUAGCACCUCAAAUAUUUAUACCAAUUUGUCAGCAGCAAGUAUCAGUGACAAGUGGAGAUAAAGUAUUAUUUAUGCUGAUAUAUCCAAUUUUUACUUGUUUGACUGCUUUCUUGAAAGAUGAUGCUUUGGAAAAUAAAAUGUAACAUUUA